GAGAAAAGCAAGGUUCUAAAUCUAGAAUCUUCCAACUUUGUUAUCAGUGCAAGACUGCCACAGUAAAAAGUGAGGCAAUAACACAUUUAGGUAUGAGUACAUAGUAGCUGCAAAUCAUAAUUACUUCAUAUAUAUUCCUUACAUUUGAAAAACUCAAAUAUAUUUUUCAUAUCCUCAAUUCUGAAUAUAUGUUUAAUGAGUACCUUAUUAGAAAUAUUAAAAAAAUUUGAAGACAUACUUUGAAUUUCAAUGAUCUUC
RNAcentral lists this long non-coding RNA (258 nucleotides) under Bos taurus (domestic cattle). RNAcentral describes it as "long non-coding RNA NONBTAT019365". Lineage: Eukaryota; Metazoa; Chordata; Mammalia; Artiodactyla; Bovidae. The record is from RNAcentral.